CCUACGGGUGGCAGCAGUGAGGAAUAUUGGUCAAUGGACGCAAGUCUGAACCAGCCAUGCCGCGUGCAGGAAGACGGCUCAAUGAGUUGUAAACUGCUUUUGUAAGAGGGUAAACGCAGAUACGCGUACCUGUCUGAAAGUAACGUACGAAAAAGGAUCGGCUAACUCCGUGCCAGCAGCCGCGGUAAUACGGAGGAUUCAAGCGUUAUCCGGAUUUAUUGGGUUUAAAGGGUGCGGAGGCGGUCGGCUAAGUUAGAGGUGAAAUCCCGAGGCUCAACUUCGGAAUUGCCUCUGAUACUGUUCGUCUCGAGAGUAGUUGCGGUAGGCGGAAUGUGUGGUGUAGCGGUGAAAUGCUUA
Molecule: ribosomal RNA, 357 nt
Filed under: uncultured bacterium
Lineage: Bacteria
Description: partial 16S ribosomal RNA
Rfam family: Bacterial small subunit ribosomal RNA
Source: RNAcentral